Molecule: ribosomal RNA, 208 nt
Filed under: uncultured bacterium
Lineage: Bacteria
Description: partial 16S ribosomal RNA
Rfam family: Bacterial small subunit ribosomal RNA
Source: RNAcentral
UCGGAUUGUAGUCUGCAACCCGACUACAUGAAGCUGGAAUCGCUAGUAAUCGCAGAUCAGAAUGCUGCGGUGAAUACGUUCCCGGGUCUUGUACACACCGCCCGUCACACCAUGGGAGUCGGAAAUGCCCGAAGCCAGUGACCCAACCUUAAGGAGGGAGCUGUCGAAGGUGGAGCCGGUAACUGGGGUGAAGUCGUAACAAGGUAAC